AAAAUAGAGACUGCCUAGUCACCAAAAAAAAAAAAAAAAUAGAGACUGCCUCACCUCCUCAAAUUGUCCGAUCCCUGAUUCUUCACACACGGUCACCACUCACACAUCAGCCAUUUGUACCGGCGGCUUCGUUCGUGCACACAUUCCUCAAAUCUUGAUCUUGGUCUGCGAUCUCAACAAUCUCUCUCAAACACACUAACCGCUAAUCUUUCACCUUCGCAACACCACAACACCACACCUCCGCGCGUGCACUGUUGCCGGAUUUUGUUGUUGUCGCCAUUGCCAACUGUUGUUGCUAUUCCUCUAUUUUUUUGGUGACCAAACUUGCUGCUCGUUGCUCAGCUUGCUCUCUAUAGCCGCCAUUUGAAGUAGGUACAACAUACCACAAUUGGCAAAAAGACACAAGGUGUAUGUCUUAGACUUGAUUGGAUUUGGCUUGAGUGACGAAAAACUUAUUGAAUAUGAUGGCAUGGUAUGGAGGGAUUAAAUGGUAGACUUCGUGAAGGAAAUAGUUAAAGAACCAUCAGUUUUAAUUGAAAAUAGAUAAUUCACUAUAAUACUUGUACCAAUUUUUUUUAGUAGAUUGUAUCUAAUUUUAAAUAGACACACAAGAUAAAUUAAGCGUUGGUAGCUGCAUAGUCUUAAAAGAUAACUAAUGUGAAAGAGGGUUUAAUAGUUUAUUAAUAUAAUUAAGAGGGAAAAAUUAAAACUCACUACUACAUACUUGAUUUUUACUAACAUUUAUAAAAUGUUACCAAAUCAUAUUAAAAUGUUACCUAUGUAUAUUAGUAACAUUUUA
Non-coding RNA from Arachis ipaensis, 799 nucleotides. Lineage: Eukaryota; Viridiplantae; Streptophyta; Magnoliopsida; Fabales; Fabaceae. The record is from RefSeq and is a predicted model, not a curated record.